GAUGAAGAACGUAGCGAAAUGCGAUAAGUAAUGUGAAUUGCAGAAUUCAGUGAAUCAUCGAAUCUUUGAACGCACAUUGCGCCCUCUGGUAUUCCGGGGGGCAUGCCUGUUCGAGCGUCAUUAUAACCACUCAAGCUCUCGCUUGGUAUUGGAGUUCGCGAUCUCGCGGCUCCUAAAAUCAGUGGCGGUGCCUGUCGGCUCUACGCGUAGUAAUACUCCUCGCGAUUGAGUCCGGUAGGUUUACUUGCCAGCAACCCCCAAUUUUUACAGGUUGACCUCGGAUCAGGUAGGGAUACCCGCUGAACUUAAGCAUAUCAUAAGCGAGGA
Molecule: unclassified non-coding RNA, 327 nt
Filed under: soil metagenome
Description: partial contains 5.8S ribosomal RNA, internal transcribed spacer 2, and large subunit ribosomal RNA
Rfam family: 5.8S ribosomal RNA (bases 1-120)
Source: RNAcentral